UGCGGAAGGAUCAUUUACUCGAUCGUAACAACACGCCAAUCAAUGGUAACUUAUUGAGUACCCUCUCCAUCACCGUGCCUUCGGAUGCGGCGGAGAGGGAAACCCUUUAAACACAACCGCCAAAAUUUUAAUUAACCAAAAUAUCAAAGCCGUGACCCGACCGAUUUCAUCGGGAAGGACACGCAACUAACCAAGAAUAACCCCUAACAACGGAUGUCUUGGCUCUCGCAACGAUGAAGAACGCAGCGAAAUGCGAUAUGUAGUGUGAAUUGCAGAAUUACGUGAAUCAUCGAAUUUUUGAACGCAUACGGCACCCGAGACCUCGGUCGAGGGUAUGUCUGCCUCAGAGUCGGCGUAACAAACUCCCCUGUGGUUACACCAAUCCUUCGGGAAAGGUAUUGGCCAGCAUCAGGGGGAACUGGCUUUCCCGCGCACCAACGCGGGUCUGCUGAAGGUGAGAUACGGGUACGUCCGGCUGGUGUGCCACCGGAUAGCACGAUUUGGUGGGAGGAAGGUACCUUGGUACCCUAUCCGAAUCAUCGUCGUGUUCUGGAGGGCAAAAGCACCGGUCAUGGGUAACCCGCCAGGCAGGAAAAAGGGGACGUCACGACGGUUUUCGGACCUCGCGUCGACCCCCGAACACAAUUCGACCUGAGUUCAGGCAAGAUCACCCGCUGAACUU
Molecule: unclassified non-coding RNA, 682 nt
Filed under: Trentepohlia sp. H79
Lineage: Eukaryota; Viridiplantae; Chlorophyta; Ulvophyceae; Trentepohliales; Trentepohliaceae
Description: sequence contains ITS1, 5.8S rRNA gene and ITS2
Rfam family: 5.8S ribosomal RNA (bases 199-352)
Source: RNAcentral